AUAGAGGGACUCUGUAAUUGAAUGGG
This 26-nucleotide non-coding RNA is filed under the name Cricetulus griseus (Chinese hamster). Lineage: Eukaryota; Metazoa; Chordata; Mammalia; Rodentia; Cricetidae. The record is from RNAcentral.